CCGCCGGCGACCGGCGCACGGGUGAGUAACACGUAUGCAACCUGGCCGUGACAGAUGGAUAACCGGGAGAAAUCCCGCCUAAUACAACAUAAUGCCGGGAGGGGACAUCCCCUGCCGGUCAAAGGGGGCGACCCCGGUCACGGAUGGGCAUGCGGCGCAUUAGGUAGUUGGUGGGGCAACGGCCCACCAAGCCGACGAUGCGUAGGGGUUCUGAGAGGAAGGUCCCCCACACUGGUACUGAGACACGGACCAGACUCCUACGGGAGGCAGCAG
RNAcentral lists this ribosomal RNA (273 nucleotides) under uncultured bacterium. Its description in RNAcentral is "partial 16S ribosomal RNA". It matches the Rfam family "Bacterial small subunit ribosomal RNA", at positions 85 to 354 of the family's 1533-position model. The record is from RNAcentral.